RNAcentral lists this microRNA (25 nucleotides) under Pristionchus pacificus. RNAcentral describes it as "ppc-miR-8294-5p". Lineage: Eukaryota; Metazoa; Nematoda; Chromadorea; Rhabditida; Neodiplogasteridae. The record is from miRBase by way of RNAcentral.
GCCGGCUCUGAUUGGUACUACAACU